UGACGACCGGGGAGGAGCAGGGGGGCGGAGUCUAGGAGACCUGCACACACACGCGCACACACACACGCACGCA
Pangasianodon gigas (Mekong giant catfish) is the source of this 73-nucleotide non-coding RNA. The record is from the annotation of a GenBank genome assembly. NCBI's taxonomy places the organism in Eukaryota, Metazoa, Chordata, Actinopteri, Siluriformes, Pangasiidae.